AAAAUGCCGAAUUCCCGUAUGGGAAACGGGGGAACCAGCGAAACCAUCUUCGGUUUCACGGGGUGAAUUCCUAGAUUGCUUGCAAUAUAGGAAAGGGUACUCUCAAACCCUAAUCCGUCAGCUAACCUCGUAAGCGUGUUGAGAGAGAA
RNAcentral lists this small RNA (149 nucleotides) under uncultured Paenibacillus sp. RNAcentral describes it as "ydaO/yuaA leader". It matches the Rfam family "c-di-AMP riboswitch aptamer (ydaO/yuaA leader)". From Rfam's summary of the family: This family represents a conserved RNA structure found upstream of the ydaO and yuaA genes in Bacillus subtilis and related genes in other bacteria. The ydaO/yuaA element is thought to act as a genetic "off" switch for the ydaO and yuaA genes in its native state. The record is from RNAcentral. Lineage: Bacteria; Bacillati; Bacillota; Bacilli; Caryophanales; Paenibacillaceae.